This 312-nucleotide long non-coding RNA is filed under the name Bos mutus (wild yak). RNAcentral describes it as "lncRNA (ENSBMUG00000011027.1)". Lineage: Eukaryota; Metazoa; Chordata; Mammalia; Artiodactyla; Bovidae. The record is from RNAcentral.
GGGCCAGAGCCGCAGCUGUGGCCUCGGUCGCCCGCAGCUGAGCCUUUCCUGCGGGCAGCGCCCGGACUCCGGUCGCUUGCUUCCCGGCCUCAGAGACCUGUCCACCUGGCGCUGUAGCAAGGAGAGAAGCCCCGGAGGUGACUGUUUCAGGAGAUGACGCACCGAAGCGCAGUGCUGCGUGAGCCAGAGAGGAGGGGCCUGAGCCACAGGGCCUGAAUAUUGGCAGUGACACUUAAGAGGCUGGCAUUUACUUCUGUUCUAACCAGCUACCUUAUAACUGUGAAAAGUAACUAUGCAUAUGUGUUGGUCAGC